AAUAGAUACCCUGGUAGUCCACGCCGUAAACGAUGAGUGCUAAGUGUUAGGGGGUUUCCGCCCCUUAGUGCUGCAGCUAACGCAUUAAGCACUCCGCCUGGGGAGUACGGUCGCAAGACUGAAACUCAAAGGAAUUGACGGGGGCCCGCACAAGCGGUGGAGCAUGUGGUUUAAUUCGAAGCAACGCGAAGAACCUUACCAGGUCUUGACAUCCCAUUGACCACUAUGGAGACAUAGUUUUCCCUUCGGGGACAACGGUGACAGGUGGUGCAUGGUUGUCGUCAGCUCGUGUCGUGAGAUGUUGGGUUAAGUCCCGCAACGAGCGCAACCCUUGUUCUUAGUUGCCAUCAUUUAGUUGGGCACUCUAAGGAGACUGCCGGUGACAAACCGGAGGAAGGUGGGGAUGACGUCAAAUCAUCAUGCCCCUUAUGACCUGGGCUACACACGUGCUACAAUGGACGGUACAAACGGUUGCCAACCCGCGAGGGGAGCUAAUCCGAUAAAACCGUUCUCAGUUCGGAUUGUAGGCUGCAACUCGCCUACAUGAAC
Molecule: ribosomal RNA, 549 nt
Filed under: uncultured bacterium
Lineage: Bacteria
Description: bacterial SSU rRNA
Rfam family: Bacterial small subunit ribosomal RNA
Source: RNAcentral